AGCGAGCGCUGGCGGCAGGCUUAACACAUGCAAGUCGAGCGGGCACUUUCGGGUGUCAGCGGCGGACGGGUGAGUAACGCGUGGGAACGUGCCCUCUGGUUCGGAAUAACUCAGGGAAACUUGAGCUAAUACCGGAUACGCCCUUUUGGGGAAAGGCUUGCUGCCGGAGGAUCGGCCCGCGUCUGAUUAGCUAGUUGGUGAGGUAACGGCUCACCAAGGCGACGAUCAGUAGCUGGUCUGAGAGGAUGAUCAGCCACACUGGGACUGAGACACGGCCCAGACUCCUACGGGAGGCAGCAGUGGGGAAUAUUGGACAAUGGGCGCAAGCCUGAUCCAGCCAUGCCGCGUGAGUGAUGAAGGCCUUAGGGUUGUAAAGCUCUUUUAUCCGGGACGAUAAUGACGGUACCGGAGGAAUAAGCCCCGGCUAACUUCGUG
This 435-nucleotide ribosomal RNA is filed under the name uncultured bacterium. RNAcentral describes it as "partial 16S ribosomal RNA". It matches the Rfam family "Bacterial small subunit ribosomal RNA", at positions 29 to 507 of the family's 1533-position model. The record is from RNAcentral.